Molecule: long non-coding RNA, 189 nt
Organism: Cannabis sativa
Lineage: Eukaryota; Viridiplantae; Streptophyta; Magnoliopsida; Rosales; Cannabaceae
Exons: 4
Source: RefSeq, a predicted model, not a curated record
UUGCCAAAAAAGGACCUAACACACACCUACAGAUCCCCAUUCCAGAUCGACGAUGACAAUGGAAUAGAACAUCACAAAUACGACACCGACAUCAGUGGCUUGCUCCCUCCGUCUCUUCUGGCAGCCACGACACAGGAAGCACCACCUCAGUUAUAAUAAAUUCAAGGUCAAGAGAACAACAAAUGUGAC